UGGGCGUAAAGCGCGCGUAGGUGGUUUAUUAAGUUGGAUGUGAAAUCCCCGGGCUCAACCUGGGAACUGCAUCCAAAACUGAUUCACUAGAGUACGAUAGAGGGAGGUAGAAUUCACAGUGUAGCGGUGGAAUGCGUAGAUAUUGUGAAGAAUACCAAUGGCGAAGGCAGCCUCCUGGAUCUGUACUGACACUAAGGUGCGAAAGCGUGGGUAGCGAACAGGAUUAGAUACCCUGGUAGUCCACGCCGUAAACGAUGUCAACUAGCUGUUGGGAAACUAUGUUUUUCAGUGGCGCAGCUAACGUAGUAAGUUGACCGCCUGGGGAGUACGGCCGCAAGGCUAAAACUCAAAUGAAUUGACGGGGACCCGCACAAGCGGUGGAGCAUGUGGUUUAAUUCGAUGCAACGCGAAAAACCUUACCUAUACUUGACAUACUUGGAAUGCUUUGUAAUAAAGCAGUGCCCUCGGGAGCCAGGAUACAGGUGCUGCAUGGCUGUCGUCAGCUCGUGUCGUGAGAUGUUCCGUUAAGUCGGAUAACGAGCGCAACCCUUACCCUUAUUUGCCAGCGAUUCGGUCGGGAACUAUAAGGGGACUGCCGGUGAUAAACCGGAGGAAGGUGAGGACGACGUCAAGUCAUCAUGGCCCUUACGUAUAGGGCUACACACGUGCUACAAUGGGGAAUACAGACGGACGCUAAGCCGCGAGGUGGUGCUAAUCCUAGAAAAUUCUUCGUAGUCCGGAUUGAAGUCUGCAACUC
This 757-nucleotide ribosomal RNA is filed under the name marine metagenome. Its description in RNAcentral is "bacterial SSU rRNA". It matches the Rfam family "Bacterial small subunit ribosomal RNA", at positions 555 to 1313 of the family's 1533-position model. The record is from RNAcentral.